This is a long non-coding RNA of Mytilus californianus (California mussel), 1092 nucleotides long. RefSeq lists it as uncharacterized. The record is from RefSeq and is a predicted model, not a curated record. The transcript is spliced from 2 exons. Lineage: Eukaryota; Metazoa; Mollusca; Bivalvia; Mytilida; Mytilidae.
GUCAAUAUCCCUAAUGGACCUUGAGAUGAGGAACACAUAUUUAUGACUCUCAUUAAAAAAUUAGUCCGCCAUACAAUUGUGGAAGCUGUGAUUUUAAAAAUUGACAUAAAUGAACUAGGACUGGUGUUUUAUAGAGCUGAUGUGAUGUGAAAAAAAGUAUAAAAAAAUAAACCUGAACAAAUAAUUACAAAGGACAUAUUUUUUAAUGAUUUUUAUGGUCAGAAUUUAGGGAUUAUUUCCUGAGGAGAGUGACAUUUUUCACUAUCUUUCGGGGUUGGGCACUUGACGGGAAAACGAAUCACACUUGCCACCCCGAAAAUCGCACCACACAUGUGCAAGUGUCUCAGCUUCAAAAUGAGCCAUCAUACAUAUCCAAGUUUACGAUAUGGCCUGAGCAACAGAAGAAAACGUUAACAUUACCGCCUAUGGAGAAUCUAUUACGCAUAUUGCCCCAAAUUGUGGCCUUGAAUUUCAAAGGUGAUGGAGUGUUUCAUGGCUCAGUGACCACAAUUUAGGAUGAUAGCUGCUGAAAUCAAGAUAUGGCUAAAACUUCACAGAAUUGUUCAGAAAUGUGUACUAAAGGGAUACAAACUGCAAUAUAAGUGGAAUCUGACAUUAGCUGAUCUAAUAUGGGUCAAUAUCCCUAAUGGACCUUGAGAUGAGGAACACAGAUUUAUGACUCUCAUUAAAAAAUUAGUCCGCCAUACAAUUGUGGAAGCUGUGAUUUUAAAAAUUGACAUAAAUGAACUAGGACUGGUGUUUUAUAGAGCUGAUGUGAUGUGAAAAAAAGUAUAAAAAAAUAAACCUGAACAAAUAAUUACAAAGGACAUAUUUUUUAAUGAUUUUUAUGGUCAGAAUUUAGGGAUUAUUUCCUGAGGAGAGUGACAUUUUUCACUAUCUUUCGGGGUUGGGCACUUGACGGGAAAACGAAUCACACUUGCCACCCCGAAAAUCGCACCACACAUGUGCAAGUGUCUCAGCUUCAAAAUGAGCCAUCAUACAUAUCCAAGUUUACGAUAUGGCCUGAGCAACAGAAGAAAACGUUAACAUUACCGCCUAUGGAUAAUCUAUUACGCAUAUUGCCCCAUAUAC